GUCGAGAAUCUUUCACAAUGGGGGCAACCCUGAUGGAGCGACGCCGCGUGGAGGAUAAGGUCUUCGGAUUGUAAACUCCUGUCAUGCGUGAACAAGGUUGCUUGGUUAAUACCUGGGCAAAUUGAUGGUAACGCAAGAGGAAGAGACGGCUAACUCUGUGCCAGCAGCCGCGGUAAUACAGAGGUCUCAAGCGUUGUUCGGAAUCACUGGGCGUAAAGGGUGCGUAGGUGGCGUGGUAAGUCAGAUGUGAAAGCCCGGGGCUCAACCUCGGAACUGCAUCCAAUACUGCCAUGCUAGAGUACUGGAGAGGUGACUAGAAUUCUCGGUGUAGCAGUGAAAUGCGUAGAUAUCGAGAGGAAUACCAAAGGCGUAGGCAGGUCACUGGACAGUUACUGACACUGAGGCACGAAGGCCAGGGGAGCGAACGGGAUUAGAAACCCCGGUAGUCC
RNAcentral lists this ribosomal RNA (449 nucleotides) under uncultured bacterium. RNAcentral describes it as "partial 16S ribosomal RNA". It matches the Rfam family "Bacterial small subunit ribosomal RNA", at positions 354 to 796 of the family's 1533-position model. The record is from RNAcentral.